GAUCAUGGCUCAGGAUGAACGCUAGCUACAGGCUUUAACACAUGCAAGUCGCGGGGCAGCAUUCACUUAGCUUGCUAAGUGAGAUGGCGACCGGCGCACGGGGUGAGUAACGCGUAUCCAACCUGCCCUUGUCCACGGGAUAACCCGGUGAAAACCGGCCUAAUACCGUAUGAGGUCACAAGCGGGCAUCCAACUGUGACGAAAGGUUUGGCGGACAAGGAUGGGGAUGCGUCCGAUUAGCUUGACGGCGGGGUAACGGCCCACCGUGGCGACGAUCGGUAGGGGUUCUGAGAGGAAAGUCCCCCACAUUGGAACUGAGACACGGUCCAAACUCCUACGGGAGGCAGCAGUGAGGAAUAUUGGUCAAUGGGCGGAAGCCUGAACCAGCCAAGUAGCGUGCAGGACGACGGCCCUAUGGGUUGUAAACUGCUUUUAUGCGGGGAUAAAGUGGGCCACGCGUGGCCUUUUGCAGGUACCGCAUGAAUAAGGACCGGCUAAUUCCGUG
Molecule: ribosomal RNA, 505 nt
Filed under: uncultured bacterium
Lineage: Bacteria
Description: bacterial SSU rRNA
Rfam family: Bacterial small subunit ribosomal RNA
Source: RNAcentral